UUAUUAAUAUGUCAGAAUAAAUGAAAUGAACUUAAAAUUCAUAAAUAAAAAUA
RNAcentral lists this transfer RNA (53 nucleotides) under Asteromyia laeviana. RNAcentral's name for it is "tRNA-Leu". Lineage: Eukaryota; Metazoa; Arthropoda; Insecta; Diptera; Cecidomyiidae. The record is from RNAcentral.